This 492-nucleotide ribosomal RNA is filed under the name uncultured bacterium. Its description in RNAcentral is "partial 16S ribosomal RNA". It matches the Rfam family "Bacterial small subunit ribosomal RNA", at positions 29 to 507 of the family's 1533-position model. The record is from RNAcentral.
AGUGAACGCUGGCGGUAGGCCUAACACAUGCAAGUCGAACGGCAGCACAGUAAGAGCUUGCUCUUACGGGUGGCGAGUGGCGGACGGGUGAGGAAUACAUCGGAAUCUACUUUUUCGUGGGGGAUAACGUAGGGAAACUUACGCUAAUACCGCAUACGACCUACGGGUGAAAGCAGGGGAUCUUCGGACCUUGCGCGAUUGAAUGAGCCGAUGUCGGAUUAGCUAGUUGGCGGGGUAAAGGCCCACCAAGGCGACGAUCCGUAGCUGGUCUGAGAGGAUGAUCAGCCACACUGGAACUUAGACACGGUCCAGACUCCUACGAGAGGCAGCAGUGGGGAAUAUUGGACAAUGGGCGCAAGCCUGAUCCAGCCAUACCGCGUGGGUGAAGAAGGCCUUCGGGUUGUAAAGCCCUUUUGUUGGGAAAGAAAAGCAGCAGGUUAAUACCCCGCUGUUCUGACGGUACCCAAAGAAUAAGCACCGGCUAACUUCGUG